GACGCAAGAGGGAAGAGAUAUGGGAACAUAUGUAUACGUAUAAUUGAUUCACUUUGUUAUAAAGCAGAAACUAACACACCAUUGUAAAGCAAUUAUACUCCAAUAAAGAUGUUAAAAAAAAAAAGUAUGUCAUCCACUAUAAAUGAUGACUGGAUCAUUUCAGACUCUGACAAUAUGAGCCACGUCUUAGGACUAUGCAGUUCUUCCUGACAUUUCCUUCCAUGAACAAUUGCACACAAUUCCACACACUUGUGUUUGCCAUUCAGUGUUCCUCACACACGUGGGACCUGCCAAAAUCUUUAACACGCCCUGCAACUCUGCUUUUGACAGGCUCCUCAUCUCCCCAGGCCCCGUUUCCUCCUCUGCAAAUGAGGGAAGUGGUCUAUAACUCCUUCCAACCUCUUCUUCCAGCUCUAGAAUAUUCAAUACAUUAAGAGUACAGGGUUAAGAAUCAUUGCUUUGAAAGAAACUCUAAGAUUUCUGUCAUCUGAGGGCAAAGGUGGGCCUGCAAGUCAUUUAUUGUCUCAAAAAAUUAAGACCUUUCUUUAAACAUAGACCAACCAUAUGAUCCAGCCAUUCUACUCCUAGCUACUUACUCAAGAGAAAUAAAAACAUGUCUGCACAAAGACUUGUACAGGAAGCUUUAUUCCCCAAAACCCCAAACUGGAAACAACCCAAAUGCCCAUUAAUAGAUGAAAGAAUAAACAAAAUGUUGUACAUCCAUACAAUGGAUUACUAUUGAGCAAUAAAAAGGAACAAAAUGAUACAUGCAAUAACAUAAAUGAAUCUCAUUAUGCUGAAUGAAGGAAGCCAGACACAAGACUACAUACUGUAUAUUCUGGUUAUGUAAAAUUCUGGAGAAUGCAAACUAAUCUAUUACAGUUACACAAGGCAGAUCAGUGCUUGCUUGUGGACUGCAAAAGGGUACGAGGGAUCUUUUUGUGGAGGGAAAUGUUCUGUAUUUUGAUUGUGAUGGUAGUUUCACAGGUGGAUGCAACUGUCAAAGCUCAUCAAAAGGUGCACUUUAAAUGAAUACAACUUAUGUAAAUUGUUUCUCAAAGUUAUCAGGGAAAAUUUUUUUGUAAGCUCUUGACUGUUCAAUCUGAGGCUUGAAGAAUAUACAUAAGGGGCAGCAGAUAAAGUUUUGAGGGGCCAUGAUAUCAAAAAAGGAUUGAUAAACCCAAAAUAUUCUUAAACAUUCUGGAAAGCCCUUUAGUUUCUGGGCAGCAUGUAUGAAUUUGUAGGAAAAUAAUUUAUCUUCUGAUUUCAGGUAAAACCCAGAACAAAGAACUGCCUUGGGAGCUAAGCAAGGUAUGUUGCUCCACAAACAAAGGCAAGUACAUGGUGGUGGGCAGCUUCCUGUGUUUGCAGCAAGUCAGGCUCCUUCAUACCGACUUCUUCCUUCACUCUGCCCGAGGUGGUAUUUACGGGUCUACUCAGGGGUGGAUUCCAUUCUACUUUAUGAAUGUCUAUUCAGAAAAACUAGAAAGCUGUAGGGCAUAUUCUUCCUUUAUAGGCCACGUGGGGCGACCGAUUUUAGUUGGCACCACUUGUAGAAUCACAGGAUGUGAGAUUUGGAAGGAACCUCAGAGACUCUCCGUCCAACUUCCCAGAGGAGGAAGCUGAGGCCCAGAGAAGGUAAGUGACUGGCCUAAGAACACAGAGCACAAGCAGGGCUAAAAAUCACUGCUCUCCAGGAUCUCUCCACUUUGAUACACUGGCUCAUCACUUAUUGAGAACGUACAACCCCAAAUCUCUAGCCAGAUCCUAAAUCCAAGCUUAAUUAGCCUGCUGCACCUUUAUUUUUUUUUAAUUUUUUAUUUUUUUUAAUGAAAGCUGUAAAAUGGUUGGAUUCUAGCUGAGAGAAAAGCAGCAAAUUCUCAGUUCUGGCCUACUGUGAGGAAAUGUAAGGAUCAAACCUCAGCACGGGAAUGAAUGCGAGGCAUUUAUGAUUCUUGUAGAACUUGGCAGCAAUUACAAAAGCCUGUUCCAUGGUGGAAAUGACCAUGUUAAAUUUCCAUUCUUAUUUGCAUUUGCAAAAAUAGAAUAAAAUUAUUUCUUGGGUAGAAGCAUUCUCUGUGACUGGGAAGUGCUUCUUGUUCGUUACUGCUCCUUUCACUCUUCAUAUAUUUCCCCUUGAUGGCUGUUGAAAUAGCAGAUAUUUCAUACAGAGAGAACAUUCAUCACAGCAGAUUCUUGAUUGAAGUUGAGUCAGAUUCUGCCGUGAAGCAGCCACUGCCAGGGAGUAAAUCAGGCCUCUCUGGAAGCUUCACUACCACCCAGUCUAAUAUGGCUUUAAUUUCCAAACUACAGUUUGGCAGGGCCAGGUCUCAGCACUGUCCCCAACCUCCUCCUCUUGCAUCUGACCCCUCGGCGCCUGGGUUCCACGGGGCCGAGACGUCCCCUCGGGGGGCGUGAUGUUGCUUCCCAGUGGUAUCUGGAUGGCACCUGCCAGCUGGUGCUGGUGCAGGGGAGACAAAGAUGAUAGCUGUGUAAUUUAGCAGUGGCCUUGGCCCUUUGGUUAGCCGGUGUGCUGGUAACAUGUUUUGCUCUUCCCGCAGACUCCCAGAAGGUCUGUUGUAGAGUUUGGUAGAAUGACUAGGACAGUAACUUCUGGAAGACUUCGGAUUGUUGGAAUCACCCCAAGCUGAAGAAGCAACAUCGGCGGCCCCUGCUUCUGUGAGGGGACUCCUGGAUCACCAAGCGACGGCACGUCCUGGAGGUGUUGGCAGUGCUGGCGCCCACCCUUCCCUGUGCUGGUGUUUUCUGGGUCACUCUGUCUUGUCCUGAGGGCCACGCUGUGCUGUGGCUGCGGGACACACCUUUCGUGUGUGGGCACCGUGGAUGGGCGGGUCUAACCCUGUACUCAGCGCGUCCCUCCAUUGAGCACCGUGAGGCACAGACUCCCUCACAUUGCCGACACCUGUGCAUCCACAAGGGCAUUUGUCAGCGCUGAAUUCCUUGUUGAGCGAGUGGAUAAUAAAGACUUCUCCGCUCUGGCUUCUGCCCACACUGCCCUGCCGAAAGUGCUCUCUCCAAGGUAACCAGUAAACCUCUACGUCGUCCAUUCCGGGGAGCAUUUCUGAGUCCUCAUCUUCCUGGGAUGCUCCUUGGAGGACCAUCUGAGUAUCCUUCUACUGCACAUGGAAGAAAAACCAACUCACAUUGUGGCAAACAAAGCAAACACAGUGCCCCCCAGCGGUGCUAGACCCCUCAGGACUCGGCCGGCUCCUCAAGUGUCUCACUGCACACUCUCAGGUCUGCCUUUCCACAGAAAGUCAGAAAAUAGAAAUUCUGAUUUUUUCAGCUACACCCAGUUCUUUCUACAAAGAGUAAACAUGAAGCUUCCUGUAGCAAAGAAAUGAAGUUUCAACCAGUUUACAGAACUCAGCAAGGUCAGGAUGAACGAUGGAAUCACAAAGGACUAAGGAAUUCCACAGGGCCUAGAUUUCCAGGAGAGGUUUUCGCCUGUCUUGAAACUACAGAAGUAAAACCUGAAGUUAUGAUCCAGGCUAUAACUGAGCUGUAUAAUAAAUAAUGAACCUCAGAUUCAAUGAAAUAUAACAGCCCUCAUCAUCCAAUACAAAAGCUGUAUUACUGAACAUUACUGAAGAAA
Long non-coding RNA from Physeter macrocephalus (sperm whale), 3616 nucleotides. RefSeq lists it as uncharacterized. The transcript is spliced from 6 exons. The record is from RefSeq and is a predicted model, not a curated record. NCBI's taxonomy places the organism in Eukaryota, Metazoa, Chordata, Mammalia, Artiodactyla, Physeteridae.